Long non-coding RNA from Triticum urartu, 1661 nucleotides. RefSeq lists it as uncharacterized. Lineage: Eukaryota; Viridiplantae; Streptophyta; Magnoliopsida; Poales; Poaceae. The record is from RefSeq and is a predicted model, not a curated record.
ACCCCUCCCACACUUUGAGCUAACCUCCCCGUACCCAAAAAUACAAUUUUCUAUCAAACAUCUAUCUCCCUCUCGCCUGAUUCCCCUUUCUCGCCCAACUUCCAUGACUAUGACGCUGCCGCCACCGCCGCCAAUUGUUUUGAGGAACAUACUAGCGCCACCACAAGCCAUCCACACCGCGAGCCCCCAGCCUCCAUGAUGGCCGCAGCAGGCCACCAUGCGUGCGCGAGCAGCCGCCGCUGCCGAACUGGCCUGGCCAGAUCUGGGCCCAAGCGUACAUGAGAGCAGUAGCUCCGUGCACCACCGACCACCGCCUCCACCGUACCUCUCCGCUGCAAGCAGGCACCAGCGCCGGAGCCCUGGAGGAACCACCCCGCCGCCGUGGCCCCCCACCGCGUAGACCACUACCUGCCUCCACGAGGUCCCCCAACUCGUGAGCGCGACACUUGACUCCGGGAGAAACAGAUCUCGCCGGGGCGGCUCUGCACGGGUUUUGACUGUCGGAGGUUGGUGGUGAUGGAGAGAGGGAGGAGGUGGAGCCAGCAACAUUGUAGGGCCGGUAACAACACACAUCUUGAGAGACAUGCACAAUUCCUCCGAAUCAUUGUAAUCUUUAACUGUUUAUUCCAUAAGAGCACGUUCUGGAAAAAUUGAUAUGCAACUUCGAACUAUUGGUAUCACAGGUUUUGGUGGUAACACAUGCUCACCUUCAGUUCAAACCAACAACAAUGAUCAUGAACUGGUACCCUGUUUGUUUAUUUGGAGCACACACAGAUGAAUCGUGGUGCACACCAUUGCAUAGUGUCGAAGUAUGGAUUGUAACCUUCCUGUUAUAUACACAAGUGAUUUAUUCUGAACCCUAGUGCCACGGGUGUCUGGCACGAUUCUCUCACCAAUGGUUUCUAGGCCCACUACCUCGCGUCUGCACACGAGUUGCUGCGCUCAGGCCUGACGGUGUUGUGCCUCGCAGGCUACCUAUGUCGGCGCUUAAUCUUGACUGCAGGAGCUCCAGGCUUCCUCUACAUUGGCUUCGGGUUGUCAUACCAUGAAAUUUCCAAGCUCUGCAAAUCAAUUCUGCGCUGAAGUUGUACUGCUCCAUGACAAGUAGCUUCAGGGCAGAUAGAUAUGUACAGAUUACUACAUCAUCGGAGAGUAAGAUUGUGGUGGUGUUGCGGUCAGAGUGGAACCAAACUUCCUAUAGCGGCUCAGUCUAGUAUGAUCAUGCUAUCCAGCAAGGCUGCGUCAGGGGCUCAGGCCAGGCAUGAUGGCAAGCAGAGUGGAUUAGAAAGUUAUCCAACAACACCCCUUUUCCAUUUCACAGUUAACAAUGCCAACUGCCCCAAAUCUGAUGAUGUGUUCCUUUUUCAUGUUGUUCCUUCUACAGGUUCUGAGAAUGCACUCAUGGAUUGAAAAUUUCUAAUGUCCAAAGUUGUAGUUGUCAGGUUGAUGAGAAGUUCAAUACUAGGUGAUUACUUGGAUCCUUGGAUAAUUUAUGCUGAUCUUUGGUACUUGGAGGAGAGUGAAGACAGUUCACAGAAUUUUAGAAAUUUAUAUGCUUUAAAAUGUUUCAUUUUCUAGGAAAUUGAUGUACUCCUAAUAGACGAUACUUGCAUUGCAAUGUAACAAAUUAUGCCAUUGAAUCAAUAUAUUAGUUUCAUUUC